ACAGGGAUUGCCCUAGUAACGGCGAGUGAAGCGGCAACAGCUCAAAUUUGAAAUCUGGCUCUUUCAGAGUCCGAGUUGUAAUUUGCAGAGGGCGCUUUGGCGUUGGCAGCGGUCCAAGUUCCUUGGAACAGGACGUCACAGAGGGUGAGAAUCCCGUACGUGGUCGCUAGCCAUCGCCGUGUAAAGCCCCUUCGACGAGUCGAGUUGUUUGGGAAUGCAGCUCUAAAUGGGAGGUAAAUUUCUUCUAAAGCUAAAUACUGGCCAGAGACCGAUAGCGCACAAGUAGAGUGAUCGAAAGAUGAAAAGCACUUUGGAAAGAGAGUCAAAUAGCACGUGAAAUUGUUGAAAGGGAAGCGCUUGCAGCCAGACUUGCCUGUAGUUGCUCAUCCGGGCUUUUGCCCGGUGCACUCUUCUGCGGGCAGGCCAGCAUCAGUUUGGGCGGUUGGAUAAAGGUCUCUGUCAUGUACCUCUCUUCGGGGAGAACUUAUAGGGGAGACGACAUGCAACCAGCCUGGACUGAGGUCCGCGCAUUUGCUAGGAUGCUGGCGUAAUGGCUGUAAGCGGCCCGUCUUGAAACACGGACCAAGGAGUCUAACAUCUAUGCGAGUGUUUGGGUGUCAAGCCCGAGCGCGUAAUGAAAGUGAACGGAGGUGGGACCCCAUUAGGGUGCACCAUCGACCGAUCCUGAUGUCUUCGGAUGGAUUUGAGUAAGAGCAUGGCUGUUGGGACCCGAAAGAUGGUGAACUAUGCUUGAAUAGGGUGAAGCCAGAGGAAACUCUGGUGGAGGCUCGCAGCGGUUCUGACGUGCAAAUCGAUCGUCAAAUUUGGGCAUAGGGGCGAAAGACUAAUCGAACUAUCUAGUAGCUGGUUCCUGCCGAU
Molecule: ribosomal RNA, 879 nt
Filed under: Neocamarosporium aquaticum
Lineage: Eukaryota; Fungi; Ascomycota; Dothideomycetes; Neocamarosporiaceae
Description: partial large subunit ribosomal RNA
Rfam family: Eukaryotic large subunit ribosomal RNA
Source: RNAcentral